Molecule: transfer RNA, 63 nt
Filed under: Vipera berus (adder)
Lineage: Eukaryota; Metazoa; Chordata; Lepidosauria; Squamata; Viperidae
Also listed under: 3 other names
Description: tRNA-Arg
Source: RNAcentral
AUUGGGGAAGUCUAAUCAGACAUUUGAUUUCGACUCAAAAGAACUUACCUGUAAGCCCCAAUA